This is a non-coding RNA of Mycena vulgaris, 89 nucleotides long. Lineage: Eukaryota; Fungi; Basidiomycota; Agaricomycetes; Agaricales; Mycenaceae. The record is from the annotation of a GenBank genome assembly.
UCGGGUGUAGUGUACGGAGCACCGCUGCCUCUUUUAGGAGGGCCCCUUCAUCCCAGCAGCAAGCCGGGGUUCGACUCCCCGCGGCCGAA